Molecule: long non-coding RNA, 830 nt
Filed under: Marmota monax (woodchuck)
Lineage: Eukaryota; Metazoa; Chordata; Mammalia; Rodentia; Sciuridae
Source: RNAcentral
AAUGGGUUGAAGAAAGGAGAGGUGUGAGAAUUAAUUUUAAUAAGUCAAAUUAAAAACUUUUUUGACUUGCAUUGCCUGGGGAUCUCAUUAUUUUAUAAUUUUUUUUCAUAUUCAUGAAAUAUAGAAUUAGUCAUAGCAGAUAGUUCUGGGCAAAGCAUUUAAAAUAUCCUCCUAGGAUGGCUUCCAGGAAUUGGAUAUGGAUGUUUGUGAAGCAUAAACACGUUUUUUUCUACCUUCCCAAUGAUGGACUACCUAUCUAUCUACCUAUAUAAGUCAUCAUAUUUAUUUCAUUAUAUCUUUAAAAAAGUAAAACGCCCCCCCCCCCCAAAAAAAAAGUCACUGUGAGAAUUUGCUGCAGCAAAAGACACUUGGCCCUCUGAGAGUUUCAUUGUAAAUUUGUUGAGGAUUUAUGGUUUGGCAAAAGCAUUCUGUUUUCUUCUAGCAGCAGGAAACACUUUUCUGAAAUCCGUUUUGGAAAUGCCAGAACAUGUCGGGUGCUCAGGCGGGGUACAGAGAAACAAUAGCUUAUGUUAUGCUUUGCAAGUGUCUCCCAAAAUUUCAUGUGUUGAAAUUUGGCUGCAACUUUGAUGAUAUUAAGAGGGUGGGAAAUCUGACUAAAAUUCAUGUGUUGGUAUUUGGAUGUGAGGGCUUUGGGAGGUCAUUUGGAUUGCACGAGGCAUGAGGAUGAACUCCCAGGAUGGCACUAGUGACUGUGUAAGAAGAGGAACAGACCUGAGCUGGCGUGCUUGCUCUGCCCCACUGUGUGACACCCUCCCCCAUGUCGUCAUGCAGCAGGAGGGCCCUCCCAGAUUCUGGCACCGUGCUCUUGG